GGGUACAGGUAUCAAUCAGUAUUCUUCUUUCAGGGAUACAGUACAAUGCUAUGCUUCCACAUCAUCUGGGAUUUAAAAGGCAGAAUAUCCAAGUCACUCUCCAGGCAGAUGAGAUCAAAAUUUCCAGUAAGCUGGCAUGCAGGCCAUGAUCUGUACACAUACCGCGCUCCAGGGCUGUUCGGACUACUGAAGACUCCUCUGCGGAAGAAGAGUGAAACUCAUGGUGGAAAGGAUAUAAACCUUGUUGAGAGAUUUCUUGGAAGAGACAAGCAACUUCUCCACACUUCCUCAGGCCGAGGUUGUAACCACCACCCGUUCCUGUCCUCAGUUGAGGCAAACAGGCAGAAUAUGCAGGUUUGGAAGCCAAAAACCUGCUGAACUGAAAUCUAGGAGUCCUGGAUGAGUGCCGGGUCUUCUUUAUUUUCUCAGUGGGACUUUGAAAGACACUCUGAUAUCUAUUAACAAAGCUAUCUGGACUCAGUUAUCACUUCCCAAUA
Molecule: long non-coding RNA, 497 nt
Organism: Cavia porcellus (domestic guinea pig)
Lineage: Eukaryota; Metazoa; Chordata; Mammalia; Rodentia; Caviidae
Exons: 3
Source: RefSeq, a predicted model, not a curated record